This 298-nucleotide ribosomal RNA is filed under the name uncultured Sphingomonadaceae bacterium. RNAcentral describes it as "partial 16S ribosomal RNA". It matches the Rfam family "Bacterial small subunit ribosomal RNA", at positions 111 to 426 of the family's 1533-position model. The record is from RNAcentral. Lineage: Bacteria; Pseudomonadati; Pseudomonadota; Alphaproteobacteria; Sphingomonadales; Sphingomonadaceae.
UAACGCGUGGGAAUCUGCCUAUCAGUGGGGAAUAACGACGGGAAACUGUCGCUAAUACCGCAUACGCCCUUAGGGGGAAAGAUUUAUCGCUGAUAGAUGAGCCCGCGUACGAUUAGCUAGUUGGUGAGGUAGUGGCUCACCAAGGCUACGAUCGUUAGUUGGUCUGAGAGGAUGAUCAGCCACACUGGGACUGAGACACGGCCCAGACUCCUACGGGAGGCAGCAGUGGGGAAUAUUGGACAAUGGGCGAAAGCCUGAUCCAGCAAUGCCGCGUGAGUGAUGAAGGCCUUAGGGUUGU